GUCUGUGUUAACGUCUCCGGUACGGCUCAGUGCGCCUCUGGUUUCACAUAGUGGGAAGGGAGACUCCCUGUGCGCUGUUGCAGGCCCUUCCUGCUAGUGGGGAAUUACGCUAAUUAUCUGGAGCUGCAGGACAUGUCACGCCAUCUUGCCAGCCUGGCCACACCCCUGGUCCGCCUGCAUCCUUAGUGCUGAGCAAACAUCAGGAAACCAGCCGUGUCUCUGGGCUCCUCUGUUUCCAGUCUGUCUCGCAAGAUGUGUCAUCUUCAUUUUAGCCCAGUCUCUCCAUGUUUGUCAAGGUCAAGCUCAGACGCCACCCGGACUCAUGGAAUGCCUUAGAGAAGGAAAGGACUGCUGAGCGAAGAAAAGUUUCUCUAGGAACAGCUGUUUCCUCUAGAAUGUUCUCUCUUUCAGUCCUGUUCCUUUUUGCAGCUGUCUGACGUCUUGAUAUUUGCAUUUACCCAUUUUCCCCAAGUUAUUGCAACAGAAACGUUGGCUGGCUUCUAUCUACUUCAUCCUACCUGGAAGGAGAAGAAAUGGAUGGGAUUUUGACAGAAGGAGACGAGGAAAUGGGCAUUCUAGGCCCCUGAGCUAACAUCUGCUGCCAAUCCUCCUCUUUUUGCUGAAGAAGACUGUCCCUGGCUAACAUCCAUACCCAUCCUCCUCUACCUUCUUUGUGGGACGCCUACCACAGCAUGGUUUGCCAAGCGGUGCCAUGUCUGCACCCAGGAUCCGAACUGGCAAACCCCGGGCCACCAAAGCAGAAUGUGCGAACCCAACCACUGGGCCAGCCCCUCGUCUACCCAUUUUUUACUUCUCUUUCUCAUCUUCUUUAUGAGAUCUUUUGAGGAGUAGAAGUUCUCAGUUUUAGGAAUGCACUCUCUGAGCUGAGCUCAGGAUGUCUGAACGCAGCACCGCUGACAUUUUGGGCUGAGAGAUUCUGUGGCAUGCAGGGCUGUCCUGCACACUGUAGACUGAGGCUGACACGCAGGUGGACUUGGAGGUGUAAGACGUGUUUUGGAUCAACAGCUGUGAGAGGACAGGGUGGAAGCAGGACGGGCAGAGGCACAAGCUGACUGCAGUGCUGACCCCACCAGCUUUACUGCCUGGGCCAGAGCUCCGGAGGGCGUGUGGCCGUCACAGCUGUCCCAAAUGCUGCUCGGGCUUUUCUUCCUGCCCUGCCCAGGCCCCAGCGUGGCUCCCUGCAGCUGAGGCCCUGAGGCUGGAAGGGUGCACACCACUCUUGUUGAGGGGCAGCUGGGGCUGGCACUUCUGCUCACCCCAUGAAGGCCCUUUCUCUCUGAAGCUUACAGACAAGGAAAAUGAGUUUAGGGCUGUGAAGACAUGAGCUGUGGCUAUGGCAGAGUUGAGAUCUGGCUUCCACUGUGUGGCUCACCCCUUUGAAGUGCACAAUCCAGUGAUUUUCGUCCCCUCACAAAGUCACGCGACCAUCGCGGCUGUCUGAUGCCCAACCACCUUCAUCCCCGGAGGACGCCAGGCCGUCCCACAGCGGACCUGCUUCUCGGCGUAGCGAGAGGCGGUGGCCGCUAGAUGGAGACGGUCCUCCAGCGGCCUCCCCUGCAAGCUUGGCCCGCUGUGCCAGGUGCGCCCGAGCGGCCGCCGGGAGGGGCUUCUCCAGGGGCAGACGUGGCUGUUCAGGACAGUUUCCCGAAGUUGCUGCGCUGACUCCUUUGGGAUGAGAGAGGCUUCUUAGGUGGCA
Equus caballus (horse) is the source of this 1717-nucleotide long non-coding RNA. Lineage: Eukaryota; Metazoa; Chordata; Mammalia; Perissodactyla; Equidae. The record is from Ensembl.